CCCAGUGUGACAUAGUGGUUUGAGCGUUGGACUAUGACUCUAGAUACCAGGGUUCGAUUCCCAGCUUGGUCA
Molecule: transfer RNA, 72 nt
Filed under: Phrynosoma platyrhinos (Desert horned lizard)
Lineage: Eukaryota; Metazoa; Chordata; Lepidosauria; Squamata; Phrynosomatidae
Description: tRNA-OTHER
Source: RNAcentral